This 2691-nucleotide unclassified non-coding RNA is filed under the name Hevea brasiliensis (rubber tree). Lineage: Eukaryota; Viridiplantae; Streptophyta; Magnoliopsida; Malpighiales; Euphorbiaceae. The record is from RNAcentral.
UUAUCAGAAAAUUUUAAGUUUAUUUAAGCUAAAAAAAUAAAAAUGGGUUUAUUUGGACAUCCUUACAAAGUUAAGGGCCAAUUUGACCCUUUAUCCGACUAACAAAUGACCCAACAACAACUAUUUAUAGUUUAUAUAUAAUCGAAUCAAGCAAUGAAAUUGAAAUUUUGCUAACUGACAAGUGGGUUUUCUUCAUCUUUGCUUAUAGAAAGAUCUGCUGCCUGAGUCCAUUUUGCUUGCGUUGUAAUCAAUGAGAGGGUAGCAGCUUGGCAAGAAAGGCCGCAGAUUAAGCCAAUCCACAAACCCUUGACAUAAAGCUUCAACUUGAAUCCAAGAAGACAUGCUAUUGGCAUGCCAAUGAUGUAAAAUGUUGCCAAGUUAGCAUAUACGGCUAAGUGCUGCCAACCACAUCCUCUGGCCACUCCUGUAGCAUCAUAAUAUCACUUGAUUAAUUAGACAUUAUGGAAAUGCAUUCAAGAUGAAGACCUGCUGAUUAAAGCCUCGAGCUUUUAGGUUAAGUGAUUUCUUUAAUAUAGAAUCAGUGCUCCUUUGAUUAAAAUGUUAUAGAGUUCAAAUCACAGCUUGAGGAGUGAUGGUGAUGCUAAAAGCCGAAAACUGCUCGACACUAUAGAAGAAAUGAAUGGUUCAAACCUGACAAGACACCUUGAAUGGAAUCAACUGUAAUGGAAAUUGCAAGGAAGGGUGCCAUGGGGGCAAAAUCCUUUAUUAUUGCACGGCUGUCACUGAACAUUGCAGCCCAGAUAUUAUGACCAAAUGCUAGAGCCAAAACAACUAUGAGGGCAAGGAAGACAGAGAGCUUGAGAGUCACAGCCAUAGCUCCCUUAGCACGGUCUGGAUUGCCCGCUCCCAACUCAUUAGAUACCCUUGUGCUUGCAACAGCACUGAGACCAUAGGUUAACAUGUAGGCUACAGCUUCUGUGUUCACGCAUAUUGCAAUUAAUGAGGUAGUUAUCUUAGAGUUUGGCAUUAUUCCUGCUACAAGCACCAGAACCUCAAAAGCCCAAUACUCCAAGCUAGCAAAAGAAUUAAAAAGGAAAAAAAGGAAAAGAAAAGUGAAUUGAAAUUUUUUUAGUGUUCAUGAAAUGAAUAUAUCUCAUAUUCCUGUUGAGUAUGAUGUUGUUCUGAAAACAUGGCAAGGAUAAUUAAACACACAAGACCUCUUAGUUGAACUAAGUUUUGAGGAAUUUUAUAUCGGAUUGCUAAUAUGAAAUAGAAGAUGAUAUCUUCUGUAUGUCAGCAAUGAAUUUUGGUAGACUUAGUUGUGGUUAAAGGACUAAUACAAAGAAUUUGCCUUGUAAACGUCAACUAUGAGGAAGAGAGAAUUUCAUGAAUGAUGGGGCUCCUUACCAUACCAUUGCAGCAGAGGGAAGAGCUAGUUUUAUGUUGAUAAGAAUGUAGCUGAAUGAUUCGAAUGAAAAUCCAUCCCACGUGUGCUCAAAUUUCUUUGCAAUUAUCACAUACAUAGCCAAAAUAAGAACUGAUAACCACAAUGAAAUUGAAACUGCGAGUGGAGCUCCCUUGAACCCAAGAGCUGUGCAGUGAAUCAAAGCAUAAGCAAUACCAAUAUGAAUGCACAUUGGUAUAAUUGAGAAUAGGACAAGGGGCAUGACAACAGAUUGUGUCUGAAGAAACCUCAAGAUGUUCUGCAGGAAUCCAUAUGCAAAUAAUCCAGGAAUGAGAUACUUCAUAUAGAGAGCAGCAGUGACAGAAAUUUGCGGAUCUUGAUGCAUUGAGACCAAAAUUGACUCCGUAUAAAACCAGAUUACAGAGAUGAUAAUGGAAAAGCAGAAUGAUAUGGCGCAGGACGCUUGCAGAUAAAUUCCCAACCUUCUAUACAAUUUAGCACCAAAGCCUUGGCCACAAAGUGUUUCAAGCGAUCCACUUAAACCUAUCAAGAAGGCAAAGCCAGUGACGCUGGCCCAGGAAUUGGCGAGAGUGGCGCCAGCAAGCUCAAGCUCACCAAGGUGGCCAGCAAACAUGACCGAAACUAAAGGUAUCAAAUAGUAGAAAACAUUAGUAAGAAUCAUGGGUAGGGAAAAAAAGAUUUGUUUCUUGGCCUCCUCCACAUCUAACACCUUCUUCCACCAGAACUUUCUCCUGCUUUCUUCUUUCUCCUCUUUUUUUCCACCGCCAUCUAACCUUGCGUUUGACAACAAUUGGAUCUGCUCCUCCCUUGGCUGCUGCUGCUGCUUGUCCAUCUUCAUCUCUAUAUUACUCUUGAUCGGAGGCCGAGGCACUGCGAUGAACCUUACACCAAUGAUAAGCCCAGAAUGGUGAGAAAUUGAGAAUACAAAGCGGCUACUCAACUAGGCCGUUUUCUAAUAAGAUGAGAUCUCACGUUUUUCUUAAAAAAAAUAUUUAUUUUAUUAUAUUUAAAAUUUUUAAAUAAAUUCAAAGUAAUUAAUUAGAUUAACUCUAUUAAAUUAUGAAUAUUCUAAUUUAUUUUUAAAAAAUGAGCGACGGAACUGAGUGUCAACAAAUAUUAUGAUUUGAUCGAAGAUUCAUAUGGAAGGUGUACACUUGAAAGAUGUGACUGUGAUGUAUGUGAUAUUUUCUCGUUGGUGUUUGUGGGGUCCCCCCCAAACGUAGGCUAUUUUGGCAAUAUAUUGUUAUUGUCAACUGAAAUCCUUUUCCUCGUUUUGUCAUUGUCGUCUCCUUAAUUACUCUCUG